AGAAAUACUGUAAAAUACAAUCCAAACCCAUCUUGGGAAGAAAUUCCAUGCCUGGAAUCUUUUCUUUGGUUUGUUUUUGUUUUUGUUUUUUUCUUUCCCAGUGAGAAAUUCCAGUGCAAAAAUCCAACCUGGUUUUGGUGGCUGGGACGUGGAGAAGAUUGUGUGGCCACCAGCUCUUCACCUUCUCCACAGCAGCAGAAACAUCACCAGAGGAGCUUUUCUCUUCCUGAUCUUCCCAUCCCAAGACAAAUUCAGGAAAAAAAAACAUUUUUCCAGCUUCUUGGUGAGCUCCUCAACCCCCAGAUUCCUGUUCUUGGCCCCAGGGCUCUGCUGUGUGGAGGGGAGCACCACGGGGGACACUUUGCUCAUCCUCUCCUCCUCCUCUCCUGCAGGUUUCACUCCAGGAUCCUCUGGAAUUCCCUGUGGGAAACCACACCAGUGGCUGCCACCGGAUCCGGGUCACUCUGGUUCUCAGGGGCUUCUUCAAACAGCCCCUGGCUGGUGCUGCAGUUCCAGGAGAUGCUGGACCUUCAGGAGGAGAUGUUUGGAGCACUGCAGCCCUGCUCUGGAGGAAGAGGCCCAGCCCCUCGUGCUGCUCUGUGACUCGUGACUCCCUGGUUUUUGGAUUCCCUUGGCUUGCUUCAGCUGCACUCCAUCACCUUAAGAUUUUUCCCAUCCUGGGGCAUCGUGGCAGCAAAGUGAUUUUCUCCAGAGACACAAACCCGGUUCUUCCCACAGCCCUUGCCUGCUCCUACCUCGGCAGCAAACAAAACCCUCCCAAUUCCCGCUGGUACUAA
This 797-nucleotide long non-coding RNA is filed under the name Cyanistes caeruleus (blue tit). Its description in RNAcentral is "lncRNA (ENSCCEG00000006525.1)". The record is from RNAcentral. Lineage: Eukaryota; Metazoa; Chordata; Aves; Passeriformes; Paridae.